Long non-coding RNA from Papaver somniferum (opium poppy), 471 nucleotides. RefSeq lists it as uncharacterized. The record is from RefSeq and is a predicted model, not a curated record. The transcript is spliced from 4 exons. NCBI's taxonomy places the organism in Eukaryota, Viridiplantae, Streptophyta, Magnoliopsida, Ranunculales, Papaveraceae.
AUCACGAGGACCCAUUCGCUAAGAAAUCUGGAAUAAAAACCAGUGAUAAGCUUGCUCAAGUUGGGGCUCGCAUUCUUCCUUCCCCAUGGAUGACUUUAUGAUCAGUGGGGGAUAAUGUAUGUCAACGUAUACAACAGGAUCAAUUUGACACCAUGUAUUUGUCAGACAAUGAGAGUUAUGUUAUGUACUCUCGCCCUCAUUUUUUAGAUGCCUAAUCCCUCACGGUGCUUUUGAUUCCUUUCAUGAUGUUAUUAGAGUGUGAGUACUCCAUCAAGAUCCCAAUGAUGAAUGAUCAGAGAGGAACUUAAACACAAGAAUGAUGGCAAUAUGAAUCUCUUAUUAUGAGCUUGGUGCUACAAAGUUGAAGGAGUGUUCAUUUUUUAUUUCAAAAUUAAGGAAAUUGUAAUCAUCAUUUUUUAAAGAAAUGAUUAGUUUGUAUUUUUAAUCUUUUUGUUCCUGUAAAGAUUGUCU